AGGGAUUAAAGAAAUUUUAAGCUAUCUUGACAUAUAACUAUAGCAAAUAAGGUAAAAACAAAUAAAAAACUUAAUAUGUAGUAUUAGAAUGUGGAAGGUUAGGCCAUUGAUAAAAAAUUAUCUUUCAAAAAUAUAAUUUAAAGACAAAAGUGAUGAAAAAUCUUCUAUUAUUAAUAGCAAGAAGGUGACAAGAAAUCAAAGAAAAUUAGAAAUAGCACAAAGAAUAGGAUUAUCAAUUAAUACAAUACUAAGGUAUAUUUAUGCACCUUAUAAUUAAAUACUGUACAGAAAG
This 292-nucleotide long non-coding RNA is filed under the name Physcomitrium patens. Its description in RNAcentral is "long non-coding RNA (PPAT_LNC013915)". Lineage: Eukaryota; Viridiplantae; Streptophyta; Bryopsida; Funariales; Funariaceae. The record is from RNAcentral.